GGCUCGGUGGUGGAUGGUCCACACCUGCAUUUCGUGAGCCUGUGAAUUGAGACAUUGACGCAGGAGGAGUCCAUUCGAUUCGGGUCCGAGCCG
Mycena epipterygia is the source of this 93-nucleotide non-coding RNA. The record is from the annotation of a GenBank genome assembly. NCBI's taxonomy places the organism in Eukaryota, Fungi, Basidiomycota, Agaricomycetes, Agaricales, Mycenaceae.